Brienomyrus brachyistius is the source of this 1639-nucleotide long non-coding RNA. RefSeq lists it as uncharacterized. NCBI's taxonomy places the organism in Eukaryota, Metazoa, Chordata, Actinopteri, Osteoglossiformes, Mormyridae. The transcript has 5 exons. The record is from RefSeq and is a predicted model, not a curated record.
AAUAAUGACAGAAGUAAAGUUUACGCCCAUGAUUAUAAUAAUUAUAGCAACUGUAUUUUCUGUAUGGUUGAAGAUCUGUCUGGUCUUUAUUCAUUUAAUUAUCACUGUAAAUAUCUGGUUAACUAUCUAUCAUUUACUCCUCAGAAAGCAAAUUCAGACAGCGGUUGCCUGGAUCAACACCCAGUACUGGGAUGCCUGGAACCUGUGUGACGAGGUGAUCGACUGGGGAGACGGUGUGGAGGAGUGCUCACGAGCGACACCCCCACUGUCCAGGAGGCAGAUCAUGGCUGGAAACCAUUCAGGAAGAAGGAUGUGAGGAAGAAGAAGAAACUGAGGUGGCGUUUCAGGAGGCACAAGACGCUGAGGUUGCCCAGUUGGACAGAUGGUGUCCAUGUGGCUGGUGUAAGGUACGUGUUUAUAUCAGUAUCUACAUGUAAAGGGAGCAGACACAGGAAAAAGGUAUUGAAGACCCUUGAUAUGAUAUUGCUGUUUUUGAUUUAGAUUCCAAAGUUAACCCUUUAUUUAAUUUAUCCCUUUUCCCCAAGUAGAAUGAUGCAUUUACUUGUAAUCUGUAUUAUUUUGCUUUGGAGUCGGAAGUUCCAAAAUCACCAGGAGAGCUCCUCAGGCAUCUCCAGCCUGUAAUUCCUGGGAAAUGCCACCUGCCACCCAUCCUUGGAAGCGUCGCCCAGUCUCAGGAUCUCAUACGUCACCAUUCAUCACAGAGUCACAGCGCUUGCAGACAUCUGGAUAAAAGGAAAAGCCCAUUUUUUAAAACUUACACGUUAAAUUUUCCUCUAAUUACCAUUUUAUUCUUUUAAAUUUCAUUAUGUUUAAUUACAUUUAGUAUGGAUUAAGGCACAGCCAGCCUGGAUUAAGGCAUCACCAGCCUGGCAUCAGACUCUCCGGACAAUGCCAGCCCAGAGGGGGCUGACCUGGAGGACAUUCCCCCGGAGGACAUGGAGUGGGAGCCUCCAGGUCUUGACCUGAGUCCCACUCCGUGGUGUCAGCCCCGUGGCCAAAGUUUCCCCAGCCGAGGAGGCUAUCGCCGCGACAACGGCAGGGUCAACAGAAAUCCAGUCGUGGGCUCAGCUCCGGGAGGAAAAAACGAGGGGUCCCUGGUUUGGUCCAGUUCCUGUCCUGCCUGCCCCUCGACACCCUCCGACUCUGCCAACCCCUCGCCGUCUACCGAUGCUGUUCUUCCCUCGGCUGCCGCAGACGAGUAGAGCUUCUACAGACCCAGACAGGAUUCCAAAGGCCCCCCUGGCCGUGACCCUUCUGCGGCACCCCGGAGCCCAUCAGAGGCCCUGAACUGUUCACUUUACCUCCCAUGCUACCUAGUGUCUUGCCCCUCCUAAUACCUCAGUCUUUGGUCUGUAGUCUUGCUUCCCCGUGGCUCUCCCUGGUUUCACCUCUUAGCCCGAUUUCACCGUUCCAGCCCCCACUCCAGUCACUCUUGCUUCCCGCUUUAGGUUCCCCUCUCCUGGCCAUAUUAUUGUUGCACUGGUUCCGUUGCUUGCCUGUCUUGUCUGGUUGUGUCCUGCCUUGUCUGUCCCUGUGCCAUCUUUGGUCCUUUUGAUGCCCAAUCCCUCCCUUUUGUCUCCUUCUACUGUGUCCUUUGUUCCCACUGACACCCACUGUC